GUCUGAGUUUUCAGACUGACAGCAAAAGAACAGAGUUCUGGAAUUCUGAGGGAGCCGCUACUGUUGAAGAGAGACAGUUAAGCCUAGGGCUGUGGCUUUUUCCCUCUGGGUGGAUGUGAGGAGAAUUAGCUUUUCCUUGUGCCAUUUGAUAGCUUAUUCAUCACAUCUUACUGUUGUUUGGAUUAUCCUGUAUCUGUUGGCCUUUUGACAUCUACUGAGCUCCUGUACUGUGACAACUAACAGCUGAUUUGCCAAGGAGCCAUGGUUAGUCUGUAUCACAGUGAACAUUUGGAUGCUAAGCUUCUGAGUUCCCUGCCGUUUUCCAAGUGAAAAGAGAGUUGAAGAUUGUGGAGAGAUCGUGACUUACUAGAGGAUUCUCGCCCCUUAGUCCACUAGAGCUGAGAUGGCUAGCUUAUAGUGCUGGGGAAAUCGUAGUAAGAAGCAGUGAUUGUCAGGGAUUGUCAUUCCCAGCAGCCAUCAGUAGCCACCACAGGAGCAGCAAGGAGCAAAUAUGCAUCAAGAAAAACAUCAGUCCUGAAACCCUGUAAUGGUGGUUUUGGGUAGUCGAGGAAAGGACGAACUGGAUGGCUUCAGAAAAAUCUGUGAAGAUUUGUGUGAACUAACUCAGAGUAAAAUAAGCAUAACCAGGAGGCCACUGGACUCAGGAACAGCGAUAUUGAAGCAAGACCGUGCUAAAGGACUCAUGAUUAAACCUCAUUCUGACAAGGCUUCAUUAGAUGGCAAAAGAGGACCAUGA
RNAcentral lists this long non-coding RNA (757 nucleotides) under Monodelphis domestica (gray short-tailed opossum). RNAcentral describes it as "lncRNA (ENSMODG00000032111.2)". The record is from RNAcentral. Lineage: Eukaryota; Metazoa; Chordata; Mammalia; Didelphimorphia; Didelphidae.